This 85-nucleotide small RNA is filed under the name Flavobacterium saliperosum. RNAcentral describes it as "Flavo-1 RNA". It matches the Rfam family "Flavo-1 RNA". Lineage: Bacteria; Pseudomonadati; Bacteroidota; Flavobacteriia; Flavobacteriales; Flavobacteriaceae. The record is from RNAcentral.
UACUAGCCCCGAUUGCAGUGUAAAUUAUCUUUGUCAAAGUUUUGAACUUUGACAAAGAUAAUUGCAACGGAAAGCGGGAACAUGG